UACGUAGGUGGCAAGCGUUGUCCGGAUUUACUGGGCGUAAAGGGCGUGCAGGCGGUCUGUUAAGUGCAGGGUGAAAGCUCCCGGCUCAACUGGGAGAGGUCCUUGCAUACUGGCGGACUUGAGGGGGGUAGAGGAAAGUGGAAUUCCCGGUGUAGUGGUGAUAUGCGUAGAUAUCGGGAGGAACACCAGUGGCGAAGGCGGCUCACUGGCCCGGUACUGACGCUGAGGUGCGAAAGCGUGGGGAGCAAACAGG
Molecule: ribosomal RNA, 253 nt
Filed under: uncultured bacterium
Lineage: Bacteria
Description: partial 16S ribosomal RNA
Rfam family: Bacterial small subunit ribosomal RNA
Source: RNAcentral